CUCGGGAGGAAGGUGGGAUGACGUCAAAUCAUCAUGCCCCUUAUGUCUUGGGCUUCACGCAUGCUACAAGUGGCCGGUACAAAGGGCUGCGAUACCGCGAGGUGGAGCGAACUACCCAGAAAGCCGGUCUCAGUUCGGAUUGGGGUCUGCAACUCGACCCCAUGAAGUCGGAGUCGCUAGUAAUCGCAGAUCAGCAACGCUGCGGUGAAUACGUUCCCGGGCCUU
RNAcentral lists this ribosomal RNA (225 nucleotides) under uncultured Cellulosimicrobium sp. Its description in RNAcentral is "partial 16S ribosomal RNA". It matches the Rfam family "Bacterial small subunit ribosomal RNA", at positions 1161 to 1382 of the family's 1533-position model. Lineage: Bacteria; Bacillati; Actinomycetota; Actinomycetes; Micrococcales; Promicromonosporaceae. The record is from RNAcentral.